GUUGAACGCUGGCGGCAGGCCUAACACAUGCAAGUCGAGCGGAUGAACGAGGCUUUCUCCUGGCUGCCGUGACGGGCGGGCGGGUGAGUCACACGAGGAUGCCCGGUCUAGGGGGCUGACGUCACGACAGGGGAGCUAAUCCCACACCGGAUCAGAGGGUGAAAGUCAUGGUUCUUCGGAGAUAGAGCUAUCAGCUGACCCUAGGUCGGAUUAGCUAGUUGGUGGGGUAAAGGCCUACCAAGGCGACGAUCCGUAACUGGUCUGAGAGGAUGAUCAGCCACACUGGAACUGAGACACGGUCCAGACUCCUACGGGAGGCAGCAGUGGGGAAUAUUCGACAAUGGGCGAAAGCCUGAUGCAGCCAUGCCGCGUGUGUGAAGAAGGUCUUCGGAUUGUAAAGCACUUUUAGUUGGGAGGAAGGGCAGUAAGUUAAUCCAUUGCUGUUUUGACGGUACCAACAGAAUAAGCACCGGCUAACUUCGUG
RNAcentral lists this ribosomal RNA (484 nucleotides) under uncultured bacterium. RNAcentral's name for it is "partial 16S ribosomal RNA". It matches the Rfam family "Bacterial small subunit ribosomal RNA", at positions 28 to 507 of the family's 1533-position model. The record is from RNAcentral.